CCUACGGGUGGCAGCAGUGAGGAAUAUUGGUCAAUGGUCGGGAGACUGAACCAGCCAAGCCGCGUGAGGGAUGAAGGUACAGAGUAUCGUAAACCUCUUUUGUCAGGGAACAAAGGCGGGGACGCGUCCCCGGAUGAGUGUACCUGAAGAAAAAGCAUCGGCUAACUCCGUGCCAGCAGCCGCGGUAAUACGGAGGAUGCGAGCGUUAUCCGGAUUUAUUGGGUUUAAAGGGUGCGCAGGCGGUCUGUUACGUCAGGGGUAAAAGCCCGGGGCUCAACCCCGGCCCGCCGUUGAAACUGGAGGUCUGGAGUUGGAGAGAGGUAUGCGGAAGGGGCGG
This 337-nucleotide ribosomal RNA is filed under the name uncultured bacterium. RNAcentral's name for it is "partial 16S ribosomal RNA". It matches the Rfam family "Bacterial small subunit ribosomal RNA", at positions 338 to 673 of the family's 1533-position model. The record is from RNAcentral.